Long non-coding RNA from Drosophila virilis, 749 nucleotides. RefSeq lists it as uncharacterized. Lineage: Eukaryota; Metazoa; Arthropoda; Insecta; Diptera; Drosophilidae. The record is from RefSeq and is a predicted model, not a curated record.
CGUUGUUUUCGAUUUACAACAACAGUCAGAUCCAAAUCGAAACACCAGUCAUAUCAUAAUACAACAAAAUAAAACGACUGAGAACAUAUUUCAAAAUGGAUACACCGAGCUAUAUGAAACUAAGAAGUCGUGUUGUUCCACUCAGUCCAGUUAAAGAAAGGAUUCGCAAACGCAAAAACAGCUUAGAUCCCAUUUCCAUGCAAGCAAAUAAAAAAAUUAAAGUUAGUCUGGGAAGCUUGGAAAUGGAUUCAUCUAAAGCCAGUGGUUCGGAUGAAGAAAAUGAUGAGGGUGUGAUUUUCGUAUCCAAUUCACGCGAUCCCUUAGAAUAUAUUGACUUGACUGAGCAAUAUUAAAUGUUCAGGUUUUAUUUUUCGAUUAUAUGUUAUAAAAAAUAUUUGCUUUGCUUGUUCAAGUUAUUAUAUUUUUUUAAUUAUGCUGUUAUAUACUUACGAACUAAGUGAACCAACAUGGGAAGAACAUUGAUCCCUGUUGGGGUUAUGUAGAGCACACCACGCGAUCCAAAGCCCAGCACUACAAAACCUCGACUUGCCAAAUCGCGAGAUAGCAAGGAGCAUCAAGAAAUUGAAUCCUACUCACGAAAGCAAUCCGAAAGCUAUGCAACCCAAGCAAGAGAAGAUAUUGGCAUUGAAAGGGAAAACAGCAAGAGAGAACUAAUAAUAAAGCUGUUGGGGUUAAUUGAGUUUUUUCAACUUUAAUAAAACAAUCAAAUUGAAAUAUAGUUACACUAA